GGCAGUAAAGCGACUAUAACAGCGAACUGAUGUUCCGUGUUAUUAGUACUCCUGCCAUUGAGUGUUGGAGGUGCGACGCGAGAAGGGAGUUAAACCCGAGGAGGACAACCUCAGCCCAGGAGAAGAUGUCUCCCCUUCGUCUGGCGACCAUGAAAGAAGCUCGGUCAUCCAGGAGGGGCUCAGAGUAGAGCCACUGCUCCUCCACAUUGGGGAGAGCCAGAAGAGGUGGCUCGGGCGUCUGAUCCGGAUGCCUCCCGGACGCCUCCCUGAUGAGAUGAGAGCUGAUAACCUGUACAUAAAUGACUCAUUCCAGAUAAUGAGGACGGUGAGGAUCAGAACUGCUGCCACCAAAACAACACAGAACACACUCCACCACUCCAAAGACUGAAGCGAGAUCACAGCUUGGGAUAUGAA
This is a long non-coding RNA of Syngnathoides biaculeatus (alligator pipefish), 414 nucleotides long. RefSeq lists it as uncharacterized. NCBI's taxonomy places the organism in Eukaryota, Metazoa, Chordata, Actinopteri, Syngnathiformes, Syngnathidae. The record is from RefSeq and is a predicted model, not a curated record. The transcript has 3 exons.